Molecule: unclassified non-coding RNA, 407 nt
Filed under: Hevea brasiliensis (rubber tree)
Lineage: Eukaryota; Viridiplantae; Streptophyta; Magnoliopsida; Malpighiales; Euphorbiaceae
Source: RNAcentral
AACUGGACCUGGUUAACCAGGUAAGAUGCUAUAGCAUUUCUGUUAAAUUCUGUAUUGCUAUCACAUCAUUUUUUUUUUAAUAUUCUUUUUUAAGAAUGAAAUUGAGAAUCUUUUAGGAAGAUGCUGCAUCUAGGUUUUAGGCCACGUAUACUCUGUUGGUCAAAAUCUACACAUACUUCAAAUAUGUUAUUGGAAGAUUGGGUUGGGUUGGGUUGGUUAAUAUAUAAGGGUUUUUGGGCUUUAUGCAGUAAACCCUAGUCGUGCAGAAUUUUGGCUCAAGAUAGUUUUUACAAAUGUCAUUUCUCAGCUGCAUACAAUUUGAUAUUUCAUAAGUAUAGCUUUUUCUGCUCACAAUUUGAUGUACUUUCCUCCCAUCCCAUGAAUCCCCUAUUCAUGCAAUCAUUUUA